This 22-nucleotide small nuclear RNA is filed under the name Arabidopsis thaliana (thale cress). Its description in RNAcentral is "snRNA_09318". Lineage: Eukaryota; Viridiplantae; Streptophyta; Magnoliopsida; Brassicales; Brassicaceae. The record is from RNAcentral.
GACCUCCCGGGAAGUCCUCGUG